UGAGGCGAACCGGGGGAACUGAAACAUCUAAGUACCCCGAGGAAAAGAAAUCAACCGAGAUUCCCCCAGUAGCGGCGAGCGAACGGGGAGGAGCCCAGAGCCUGAAUCAGUGUGUGUGUUAGUGGAAGCGUCUGGAAAGGCGCGCGAUACAGGGUGACAGCCCCGUACACAAAAAUGCACAUGCUGUGAGCUCGAUGAGUAGGGCGGGACACGUGGUAUCCUGUCUGAAUAUGGGGGGACCAUCCUCCAAGGCUAAAUACUCCUGACUGACCGAUAGUGAACCAGUACCGUGAGGGAAAGGCGAAAAGAACCCCGGCGAGGGGAGUGAAAAAGAACCUGAAACCGUGUACGUACAAGCAGUGGGAGCAUGCUUAGGCGUGUGACUGCGUACCUUUUGUAUAAUGGGUCAGCGACUUAUAUUCUGUAGCAAGGUUAACCGAAUAGGGGAGCCGAAGGGAAACCGAGUCUUAACUGGGCGUUAAGUUGCAGGGUAUAGACCCGAAACCCGGUGAUCUAGCCAUGGGCAGGUUGAAGGUUGGGUAACACUAACUGGAGGACCGAACCGACUAAUGUUGAAAAAUUAGCGGAUGACUUGUGGCUGGGGGUGAAAGGCCAAUCAAACCGGGAGAUAGCUGGUUCUCCCCGAAAGCUAUUUAGGUAGCGCCUCGUGAACUCAUCUCCGGGGGUAGAGCACUGUUUCGGCAAGGGGGUCAUCCCGACUUACCAACCCGAUGCAAACUGCGAAUACCGGAGAAUGUUAUCACGGGAGACACACGGCGGGUGCUAACGUCCGUCGUGAAGAGGGAAACAACCCAGACCGCCAGCUAAGGUCCCAAAGUCAUGGUUAAGUGGGAAACGAUGUGGGAAGGCCCAGACAGCCAGGAUGUUGGCUUAGAAGCAGCCAUCAUUUAAAGAAAGCGUAAUAGCUCACUGGUCGAGUCGGCCUGCGCGGAAGAUGUAACGGGGCUAAACCAUGCACCGAAGCUGCGGCAGCGACGCUUAUGCGUUGUUGGGUA
RNAcentral lists this ribosomal RNA (1016 nucleotides) under Escherichia coli. Its description in RNAcentral is "partial 23S ribosomal RNA". It matches the Rfam family "Bacterial large subunit ribosomal RNA", at positions 175 to 1230 of the family's 2925-position model. Lineage: Bacteria; Pseudomonadati; Pseudomonadota; Gammaproteobacteria; Enterobacterales; Enterobacteriaceae. The record is from RNAcentral.